UUAAUUGAAGAGUUUGAUCAUGGCUCAGAUUGAACGCUGGCGGCAGGCCUAACACAUGCAAGUCGAGCGGGGUUUUCGGACCUAGCGGCGGACGGGUGAGUAAUGCGUAGGAAGCUGCCCGAUAGAGGGGGAUACCAGUUGGAAACGACUGUUAAUACCGCAUAAUGUCUACGGACCAAAGUGUGGGACCUUCGGGCCACAUGCUAUCGGAUGCGCCUACGUGGGAUUAGCUAGUUGGUGAGGUAAUGGCUCACCAAGGCGACGAUCUCUAGCUGGUUUGAGAGGAUGAUCAGCCACACUGGAACUGAGACACGGUCCAGACUCCUACGGGAGGCAGCAGUGGGGAAUAUUGGACAAUGGGCGCAAGCCUGAUCCAGCCAUGCCGCGUGUGUGAAGAAGGCCUUCGGGUUGUAAAGCACUUUCAGCGAGGAGGAAGGGAUGUAUGUUAAUAGCAUGCAUUUUUGACGUUACUCGCAGAAGAAGCACCGGCUAACUCUGUGCCAGCAGCCGCGGUAAUACAGAG
RNAcentral lists this ribosomal RNA (523 nucleotides) under Rheinheimera tangshanensis. RNAcentral's name for it is "bacterial SSU rRNA". It matches the Rfam family "Bacterial small subunit ribosomal RNA", at positions 1 to 530 of the family's 1533-position model. Lineage: Bacteria; Pseudomonadati; Pseudomonadota; Gammaproteobacteria; Chromatiales; Chromatiaceae. The record is from RNAcentral.